RNAcentral lists this long non-coding RNA (662 nucleotides) under Anas platyrhynchos platyrhynchos (common mallard). RNAcentral's name for it is "lncRNA (ENSAPLG00000030165.1)". The record is from RNAcentral. Lineage: Eukaryota; Metazoa; Chordata; Aves; Anseriformes; Anatidae.
GGCAAAGCAUAGGUUAAGUGACUGAAAGUCACAGAGAGAAAAUGUAACCGAGCAAAGUAUUGAAUUUUCAUCUGCAGAUUUCUAUUUCCGUACUUUACAAUUAGAUCAUCUUUUAAAUUCAGUUUCAAAUUGGAAAAGAAAAGAGCUGAGGAGUUUCAAAUGUUUUCUUAUUAUCAAUCAUUCACGUAUUUCUAACCUGAGUAAAUAACAUGUGGAAGACAAUUCAGAUUGGCAGGUAUAUUUUCAGAAACGGAUACAUGAUGUCUAAACUCUGACUAGAAUGAGAAAUACAUCCUUGCUACAAAAAUCCAAUACAGACUUUUACCUUUCAGAGUCAGGUUUUGAUUUCAGGCCAUUCUGAAGGAGGGGUGACAUGAUCUGUCUGUCAGCUUCAAGGUUGCUGAACAUCUACAGUUUUCUAGGCCUGGAAAACCAAAUCAUUGGUCUAUGGAAGACCAAAAACAAAAUCACAAGUCCAGAUAUGGAAAAUGACAUAAUGGUAAUUGGGAGUCUCAUAAUUGUGAAGGAUAUCUCAAAGCAAACUUUUGGAAAGUGGUAAAAAGAGCACGGUGCCAACUUCAAUCAUGAUUAACUGCUAAGCUUCAUCUGUUGCAAAUGUACUAUGAGGUCAUGCAAGUCAGUUCAGAAAUGUCUCCAUCCAC